RNAcentral lists this ribosomal RNA (608 nucleotides) under Theloderma hekouense. RNAcentral describes it as "partial large subunit ribosomal RNA". It matches the Rfam family "Bacterial large subunit ribosomal RNA", at positions 1749 to 2561 of the family's 2925-position model. Lineage: Eukaryota; Metazoa; Chordata; Amphibia; Anura; Rhacophoridae. The record is from RNAcentral.
CCCCCCGUUAACCUAACACCAGAGCAUUCCAGGAAAGAUUAACAGAGAAGGAAGGAACUCGGCAAAUCUCUACCCCGCCUGUUUACCAAAAACAUCGCCUCUUGACCCCAUAAGAGGUCCAGCCUGCCCAGUGACAAAAUUCAACGGCCGCGGUAUCCUAACCGUGCAAAGGUAGCACAAUCACUUGUUCUUUAAAUAAGGACUCGUAUCAACGGCACCACGAGGGUUGCACUGUCUCCCCCCUCUAAUCAGUGAAACUGAUCUCCCCGUGAAGAAGCGGGGAUUCACCCAUAAGACGAGAAGACCCCAUGGAGCUUAAAACUAACAGCAACUCAAUUACACACCACCCACAACCCAUAGAGCCAUGCAUGCCAGUUUUCGGUUGGGGCGACCGCGGAGCAAAAAUUAGCCUCCACAACGAAAAAGAACUAAAUCUUUAUCCUAGAGCCACUCCUCCAAGAAUUAGUACACUAACGAUUAAUGACCCGACUAUCGAUCAACGAACCAAGUUACCCUGGGGAUAACAGCGCAAUCUACUUCAAGAGCCCCUAUCGACAAGUAGGCUUACGACCUCGAUGUUGGAUCAGGGUACCCCAGAGGCGCAGCCG